AGCAGCCGCGGUAAUUCCAGCUCCAAUAGCGUAUAUUAAGGUUGUUGCAGUUAAAAAGCUCGUAGUUGAAUUUCGGGGUUAGUAGGUUGGUCAUGCCUCUGGUAUGUACUGGUCUCACUGAUUCCUCCUUCCUGAUGAGCCGUAAUGCCAUUAAUUUGGUGUUGCGGGGAAUUUGGACUGUUACUUUGAAAAAAUUAGAGUGUUUAAAGCAAGCUAACGCUUGAAUACAUUAGCAUGGAAUAAUGAAAUAGGACGUUCGAUCCUAUUUUGUUGGUUUCUAGGAUUGACGUAAUGAUUAAUAGGGAUAGUUGGGGGCAUUAGUAUUCAAUUGUCAGAGGUGAAAUUCUUGGAUUUAUUGAAGACUAACUACUGCGAAAGCAUUUGCCAAGGAUGUUUUCAUUAAUCAAGAACGAAAGUUAGGGGAUCGAAGACGAUCAGAUACCGUCGUAGUCUUAACCAUAAACUAUGCCGACUAGGGAUCGGAUGAUGUUAAUUUUUUAAUGACUCA
This 508-nucleotide ribosomal RNA is filed under the name uncultured Glomus. RNAcentral's name for it is "SSU rRNA". It matches the Rfam family "Eukaryotic small subunit ribosomal RNA", at positions 569 to 1078 of the family's 1831-position model. Lineage: Eukaryota; Fungi; Glomeromycota; Glomeromycetes; Glomerales; Glomeraceae. The record is from RNAcentral.